UGCGAGUGAAGAGGGAAAAGCUCAAAUUUAAAAUCUGGCAGUGUUUUGCUGUCCGAGUUGUAACCUAGAGAAGUGUAACCUGGGCUGGACCAUGUACAAGUCUCCUGGAAUGGAGCAUCGCAGAGGGUGAGAAUCCCGUCUUUGACAUGGACUACCAGUGCAUUGUGGUUGUGCUCUCAACGAGUCGAGUUGUUUGGGAAUGCAGCUCUAAAUGGGUGGUAAAUUCCAUCUAAAGCUAAAUAUUGGCGAGAGACCGAUAGCGAACAAGUACCGUGAGGGAAAGAUGAAAAGAACUUUGGAAAGAGAGUUAAACAGUAUGUGAAAUUGUUGAAAGGGAAACGUUUGAAGUCAGUCAUGUUGGCUGGGGAUCAGCCUGGCAGAUUGCCGGGUGUACUUCCUGGUUGACGGGCCAACAUCAGUUUUGACUGCCAGAAAAAGGCCAAGGGAAUGUGGCACCUUUGGGUGUGUUAUAGCUCUUGGUCGUAUGUGGUGGUUGGGACUGAGGAGAGCAGUGCGCCGAAAGGCAGGGUUUCGACCACAUUCGCACUGAGGAUGUUGGCAUAAUGGCUUUAAGCGACCCGUCUUGAAACACGGACCAAGGAGUCUAACAUGCAUGCGAGUGUUUGGGUGGAAAACUCUUACGCGCAAUGAAAGUGAAAGUUGAGAUCCCUGUCGUGGGGAGCAUCGACGCCUGGACCAGAACUUUUGGGACGGAUCUGCGGUAGAGCAUGUAUGUUGGGACCCGAAAGAUGGUGAACUAUGCCUGAUAGGGUGAAGCCAGAGGAACUCUGGUGGAGGCUCGUAGCGAUUCUGACGUGCAAUCGA
RNAcentral lists this ribosomal RNA (825 nucleotides) under Amanita citrina. RNAcentral's name for it is "partial large subunit ribosomal RNA". It matches the Rfam family "Eukaryotic large subunit ribosomal RNA", at positions 88 to 901 of the family's 3401-position model. Lineage: Eukaryota; Fungi; Basidiomycota; Agaricomycetes; Agaricales; Amanitaceae. The record is from RNAcentral.